UGCUACUAAUAGCACUUAAACAGUUUAGGUAGGAGGUAGCUGUACACCUUGUAUAUAUUGACCACAACCCUCACAUUUUUUAUUUCAUGCAUUUCCAACCUGACAGUUUGCUGGUCAGUGUGUCUACAAGCUGAUGCUGACAGAAAUUAAGCUGUAAAUAAACCUAAUCUGACUACAGGGUGAAGAACCUGUGGAUAAAGCUGGAGAUAAAAUGCUUUUUGUCUCCAUGCUGCUAAGGCUCGUUUUUCUUACCAUUUCCUCAGUAUUUCAUUUUGUUUGACGGUGACAGUAACUGACUUCCGUCUUCCAACUUCCUACUUCAUCAAAUGAGCAGCAUAAUUUUUAGGUUAGAAAAGGUUUAGAUAGAUUGUUUUAGUAAAUCUGUUAAUAGCAACACAAUUAUUAUUUAUCAAUUUUUCUUUGUCAGAGGGUUUCUCGUACAACUGUCAGACGUUUAGCCUUUUAGAACAUUUAGAAUUAGACGUCUAGUAAGAGUAGGCUGAAGCAGCUUUUCUGUGUCCGUCCGAGUUAAACAAUGCUUCGUAGUGCGGCUGUUCCGUUACUCUGUUUGGUGGUGUGGUUCCAUCAAGCAGACAGAGGUGAAGCUGUGAGGAGCGUUAUUGGUUAUAUCAACGAGUCAGUUGUGCUGAGGUCAGGAGCUGAUCCAUCAUGGACUCUUAAAACUAUUCAGUGGUCGAUCUAUGAGAACUUAACUUACAUUGCAACAUUUGACAACGAUAGAAUUAGAGAUAAUAGGUGGCCACAAUUCAUGGGCCGACUUGAGCUCAGUAUAAUUUCAGGAGAUUUAAAAAUUAAAAAUUUAAAGGCUGGAGACUCUAUGGCAUACAAAGUGACUCUUGAAGGACAACGCAGUACAUUACCACUGUCAGAAAAAGACAUUGUCCAGCUGAAUGUUCGAGAGGCUCACAAGUUUUAUGACAAAUCUAUUGGCAGUAUGAGCUAUUCCAUUUGUCUAACUAAAGUCCUGGUCCAAGCAUAAGAGAUGCAUCCCCAUAGCAAAUAACAGAAAAAAAAAAACCUUUCCCUGGGCCCAACAUAACUCUGUUGUACAGUUUACUGAACGAAGGAAAAUGUGUAAUCAAACUUAGAUGCUCCCACAAUAGCAGUAACAUUUCUCUCACGUGGAAACCUGAAGAUGUCUUUAAUGAGAGCUUCUUGAGUCACCCUCCUAAUGUCACCAAGGAGUCAGAGUUGUGGACAGACUUCAGUAACAGAGAUGUAAACUUCUUCUGCAUUGCUACUGAUCACAAUCGAGCAAAGUCGAGCAAGCUGAGUGUGAAAUGUCCUGAGACAGAUCCAGGUCCACCCAAUAUCUGCACAUGGUUGAUUUCGGUCAUUUUAUUUUUAUUAGCUAUAAUAUCAUUGAUGUUAUGGAUAUUUAAAGAUGACAUCAGGCAGUGCAUUCAAACCUCUUAGAAUUUGAAAUCCAGCAGCCAUAAUCAGCAUUUCUUCGGUUUGAUUAAAUUAAAGAAUACAGAUGUUAUUGUUAAGGUAUAAGUUUCAUGUUAUUGUUAAUGUUAUAAGUUGUGAAUAUAAUAUUACGCAUGUUUUUUUACUUUGACCAAUAAAAUAAGGACAAGUAUGCCAA
This is an RNA transcript of Tachysurus fulvidraco (yellow catfish), 1609 nucleotides long. RefSeq lists it as uncharacterized. NCBI's taxonomy places the organism in Eukaryota, Metazoa, Chordata, Actinopteri, Siluriformes, Bagridae. The record is from RefSeq and is a predicted model, not a curated record. The transcript has 6 exons.